CAGUCGCCGCGGUAAUACGAAGGGGGCUAGCGCUGUUCGGAUUUACUGGGCGUAAAGGGUGCGUAGGCGGACUGAUAAGUCAGGGGUGAAAUCCCAAGGCUCAACCUUGGAACUGCCUUUGAUACUGUUAGUCUUGAGUUCGAGAGAGGUGAGUGGAACCGCGAGUGUAGAGGUGAAAUUCGUAGAUAUUCGCAAGAACACCAGUGGCGAAGGCGGCUCACUGGCUCGAAACUGACGCUGAGGCACGAAAGCGUGGGGAGCAAACAGGAUUAGAUACCCCGGUAGUCCCUGUCUCUUAUAA
RNAcentral lists this ribosomal RNA (301 nucleotides) under uncultured bacterium. RNAcentral describes it as "partial 16S ribosomal RNA". It matches the Rfam family "Bacterial small subunit ribosomal RNA", at positions 509 to 809 of the family's 1533-position model. The record is from RNAcentral.